RNAcentral lists this ribosomal RNA (460 nucleotides) under uncultured bacterium. RNAcentral's name for it is "partial 16S ribosomal RNA". It matches the Rfam family "Bacterial small subunit ribosomal RNA", at positions 338 to 795 of the family's 1533-position model. The record is from RNAcentral.
CCUACGGGUGGCAGCAGUGAGGAAUAUUGGUCAAUGGGCGCAAGCCUGAACCAGCCAAGCAGCGUGAAGGAUGACUGCCCUACGGGUUGUAAACUUCUUUUAUAAGGGAAUAAAGUGAAGCACGAGUGCCUUUUUGUAUGUACUUUAUGAACAAGGAUCGGCUAACUCCGUGCCAGCAGCCGCGGUAAUACGGAGGAUCCGAGCGUUAUCCGGAUUUAUUGGGUUUAAAGGGAGCGUAGGUGGGUUGUUAAGUAAGUUGUGAAAGUUGUGGGCUCAACCGGAGAAUUGCAAUUGAUACUGGCAGUCUUGAGUACAGUAGAGGUAGGCGGAAUUCGUGGUGUAGCGGUGAAAUGCGUAGAUAGCACGAAGAACACCGAUUGCGAAGGCAGCUUACUGAACUGCCACUGACGCUGAUGCUCGAAAGUGUGGGUAGCAAACAGGAUUAGAUACCCCUGUAGUC